AGUCGGACGGGACCAUCGGAGAGCUUGCUCGAAGAUGGUGAGAGUGGCGCACGGUUGUNUAACGCGUGAGCAACCUACCUCUAUCAGGGGGAUAGCCUCUCGAAAGAGAGAUUAACACCGCAUAACAUCAACAGUUCGCAUGUUCAGUUGAUUAAAUAUUUAUAGGAUAGAGAUGGGCUCGCGUGACAUUAGCUAGUUGGUAGGGUAACGGCUUACCAAGGCGACGAUGUCUAGGGGCUCUGAGAGGAGAAUCCCCCACACUGGUACUGAGACACGGACCAGACUCCUACGGGAGGCAGCAGUAAGGAAUAUUGGUCAAUGGGCGGAAGCCUGAACCAGCCAUGCCGCGUGCAGGAUGACUGCCCUAUGGGUUGUAAACUGCUUUUGUCCAGGAAUAAACCUCUUUACGAGUAUAUAGCUGAAUGUACUGGAAGAAUAAGGAUCGGCUAACUCCGUGCCAGCAGCCGCGGUAAUACGGAGGAUCCGAGCGUUAUCCGGAUUUAUUGGGUUUAAAGGGUGCGUAGGCGGCCUAUUAAGUCAGGGGUGAAAUACGGUGGCUCAACCAUCGCAGUGCCUUUGAUACUGAUGGGCUUGAAUCCAUUUGAAGUGGGCGGAAUAAGACAAGUAGCGGUGAAAUGCAUAGAUAUGUCUUAGAACUCCGAUUGCGAAGGCAGCUCACUAAGCUGGUAUUGACGCUGAUGCACGAAAGCGUGGGGAUCGAACAGGAUUAGAUACCCUGGUAGUCCACGCCCUAAACGAUGAUAACUCGAUGUUGGCGAUAGACAGCCAGCGUCCAAGCGAAAGCGUUAAGUUAUCCACCUGGGGGAGUACGCCCG
RNAcentral lists this ribosomal RNA (836 nucleotides) under Sphingobacterium multivorum. Its description in RNAcentral is "bacterial SSU rRNA". It matches the Rfam family "Bacterial small subunit ribosomal RNA", at positions 60 to 888 of the family's 1533-position model. The record is from RNAcentral. Lineage: Bacteria; Pseudomonadati; Bacteroidota; Sphingobacteriia; Sphingobacteriales; Sphingobacteriaceae.